GCACUGCUGAGGAGUCCCACAAUAGGACGAAAGAGCCAUCCAGUGC
Molecule: non-coding RNA, 46 nt
Filed under: Schistosoma margrebowiei
Lineage: Eukaryota; Metazoa; Platyhelminthes; Trematoda; Strigeidida; Schistosomatidae
Source: RNAcentral